UUCCGGUUGAUCCUGCCGGACCUGACUGCUAUCGGAUUGAUACUAAGCCAUGUGAGUCAUUGUAGUAAUACAAGGCAGACGGCUCAGUAACACGUAGUCAAUCUACCCUAUGGACGGGGAUAACCUCGGGAAACUGAGAAUAAUACCCGACAGAUCAUAAUGCCUGGAAUGGUUUAUGGUUCAAAUGAUUUUUCGCCAUAGGAUGGGACUGCGGUCUAUCAGCUUGUUGGUGAGGUAAUGGCCCACCAAGGCUAUAACAGGUACGGGCUCUGAGAGGAGUGGCCCGGAGAUGGGUACUGAGACACGGACCCAGGCCCUAUGGGGCGCAGCAGGCGAGAAAACUUUGCAAUGUGCGAAAGCACGACAAGGUUAAUCCGAGUGGUUUCUGCUAAAGGAACCUUUUGUUAGUCCUAAAAACACUAACGAAUAAGGGGUGGGCAAGUUCUGGUGUCAGCCGCCGCGGUAAAACCAGCACCUCAAGUGGUCAGGAUGAUUAUUGGGCCUAAAGCAUCCGUAGCCGGCUCUGUAAGUUUUCGGUUAAAUCUGUACGCUUAACGUACAGGCCGCCGGAAAUACUGCAGAGCUAGGGAGUGGGAGAGGUAGACGGUACUCGGGAGGAAGUGGUAAAAUGCUUUGAUCUCCCGAUGACCACCUGUGGCGAAGGCGGUCUACCAGAACACGUUCGACGGUGAGGGAUGAAAGCUGGGGGAGCAAACCGGAUUAGAUACCCGGGUAGUCCCAGCUGUAAACGAUGCAAACUCAGUGAUGCAUUGGCUUGUGGCCAGUGCAGUGCCGCAGAGAAGUCGUUAAGUUUGCCGCCUGGGAAGUACGUACGCAAGUAUGAAACUUAAAGGAAUUGGCGGGGGAGCACCACAAGGGGUGAAGCCUGCGGUUCAAUUGGAGUCAACGCCGGGA
RNAcentral lists this ribosomal RNA (915 nucleotides) under uncultured crenarchaeote. RNAcentral describes it as "bacterial SSU rRNA". It matches the Rfam family "Archaeal small subunit ribosomal RNA", at positions 1 to 923 of the family's 1478-position model. Lineage: Archaea; Thermoproteati; Thermoproteota. The record is from RNAcentral.